Molecule: ribosomal RNA, 264 nt
Filed under: uncultured bacterium
Lineage: Bacteria
Description: partial 16S ribosomal RNA
Rfam family: Bacterial small subunit ribosomal RNA
Source: RNAcentral
GUCCACGCCCUAAACGAUGCGAACUGGAUGUUGGGCACAACUUGGUGCCCAGUAUCGAAGCUAACGCGUUAAGUUCGCCGCCUGGGGAGUACGGUCGCAAGACUGAAACUCAAAGGAAUUGACGGGGGCCCGCACAAGCGGUGGAGUAUGUGGUUUAAUUCGAUGCAACGCGAAGAACCUUACCUGGUCUUGACAUCCACGGAACUUUCCAGAGAUGGAUUGGUGCCUUCGGGAACCGUGAGACAGGUGCUGCAUGGCUGUCGU